GAGAGAGACAUGCGCGCAUAUCAAUAAGCGGAGGAAAAGAAACUAACAAGGAUUCCCUUAGUAACGGCGAGUGAAGCGGGAAGAGCUCAAAUUUGAAAUCUUCAAGGUUUUACCUUGACGAAUUGUAGUUUAAAGAAGUGUUUUCUGCUGAAGUUUUGGUAAAAGUUCUUUGGAAUAGGACAUCAUAGAGGGUGAGAAUCCCGUAUUUGACCAUUAUUUUCAGCUUUGUGAUACACUUUCAAAGAGUCGGAUUGUUUGGGAAUGCAGUCCAAAAUGGGUGGUAAAUUUCAUCUAAAGCUAAAUAUUGGCGAGGAGACCGAUAGCGAACAAGUACCGUGAGGGAAAGAUGAAAAGAACUUUGAAAAGAGAGUUAAACAGUACGUGAAAUUGUCAAAAGGGAAGCGUUUGACACCAGUGUUGUUUUCUCGAAAAUCAAUUAAAAAUGGCUCGAUUUUGUAUUGUUGAGACCUUAAAAGCUCACUGUACAUUUUUCGUGUCUUUUUUAAUGCACUUUUCGUUUAACAAGUCAACAUCAGUUUCUUUUGUUGUAAAAGGGUCAUUGGAAGGUGGCUUUCUUUUCGGAGAAAGUGUUUAUAGCCUUUGGCCUCUGCAAUCGGAGAGACUGAGGUCUGCAGCGUAGACUCUUCGGGGUUAGAUACAUUUGUGCUAAGUUAUAGCUUUUUAUAGACAACUUGUUGACUAUAAUUAGUCUUGUAGCUUACUCGCUUAUGCUAUUUUACCUACGCUUAGGAUGUUGAGUCGUAGAGCACGCAG
This 774-nucleotide ribosomal RNA is filed under the name uncultured Neocallimastigales. RNAcentral's name for it is "partial large subunit ribosomal RNA". It matches the Rfam family "Eukaryotic large subunit ribosomal RNA", at positions 23 to 634 of the family's 3401-position model. The record is from RNAcentral. Lineage: Eukaryota; Fungi; Neocallimastigomycota; Neocallimastigomycetes; Neocallimastigales.